CUCGGGAGACGGGGCGGGGGCGCACGGCAUUAAAAAAGAACCAAGAAAACCUCCCAGCCAAGCCGCCAAAAGCCUCACAACAAACCAAAAAAUCCAAAAAGCAAAACCCACAAAAUCCAGGAAACCCAAACCCGUCUGGUUUUUUUGGGUUUUUUUAAUCGCCCACCACAAAAUUUGUGGCUCCCUCCUCUUUGUCCGAGCGUCGAGCGCGAUCGUGGCUGAGCAUCACCCGCCGCGCCCGCGGCACUGCCCGCUCCCGAGGCGGCGCGGCCGGAGCCUCCCCCGCAUCGCCCCGCCCAGCACGGGCUCCGCCGCCCCCGGGCACCUCGCUCGGCCCUCGCUCGCCGCUGCCCGGCCGUGGGGCCGGCGGUGCGGGAAACACCGUCGGUCCCCGGCGGAGGCGCAACACAUCCCCCGCCAUCGCUCCCAGCGGGCCCCCGGGAAAGGGUGUGGCCGCAGCCCAGCCCACCGGCAGACAUUGGUGUGCCCAGAGUGACAUUGUGCAGCCAGCAGCACAAACCUGUAAGAUGCCAGCCCCUUCAAACCAGGCCUAGCAGCAGAGUCAGAAGAUUCAUCUGCAUUGUGAAAGCAUAUGCCAAAUGCUUGUCAGAGGACAGUCGUGUGCCAGGCUUCUUCUGGCAGUAAUGGUACGUAUUCGGCUGCCAUCGUUGCUAACAAAGUACUAAUCAUGGUGUGUGAGAGAAUGAACUGUGCAUAGAGCCAGCCGUGCUUGCAAGUGAACUCAAGCCUUCAGAAGAUUGAACUGUGUUGGACAAAUGUGCUCUGACCAACAGUUGUUAUUCUGUUUUAUUAUAGUUAGUUCCUCAAAAAUGCAGUCACAGUGCCUUUACCAAUUUCCAAGUAUCUCUCUCAUGUCCUUCUGACUAAAUACUGACAAUUCUUCUGAUUUCUUUCUUCAGUGACAGUCUUAUCUGUAUUACUGACUACUUUUACUAAUUACUUCUCCCAUAUCCAAAGAUAUCAAAAGAUAAACAAGAUUUAUCUUUCAGAAUCCUCUUCCUCUCCUGCUGUCCUCAGGGCCUCAUGCCAAAGUCUGAAAGAAAUGGUCAGGCAGAAAUAACUUUUAUAUGAACCUUUCAUGGUACGUGGCAUUCAUCCCACUCUGUGGUCCAGAAUGUUUGCUAGUUAACACACCAAAAAACCAGAUAGAAACAUCUAUCAUAACUGGGAUUGAUGGUAUCUGUGAAAAAAGAAAAGAUUGAUUUUAAAAGUGAAAAAUUAGCUUAUAAUUCCAAAUUUUAAAAUGUUUUGUCUGCUUUUUCGAAUGAGCAAUAAAAUGCACACACUAAUUAUAACUAAAUAGUAGUGUGUGGGUAUAACACUCAUGAACACAACAGGAUUCCUCCAUUUCUGAUGUAGCCAU
RNAcentral lists this long non-coding RNA (1384 nucleotides) under Camarhynchus parvulus. RNAcentral describes it as "lncRNA (ENSCPVG00000016348.2)". Lineage: Eukaryota; Metazoa; Chordata; Aves; Passeriformes; Thraupidae. The record is from RNAcentral.